GAGGAGCACAAGAAGAAGCACCCAGAUGCCUCAGUCAGCUUCUCAGAGUUUUCUAAGAAGUGCUCAGAGAAGUGGAAGAUCACGUCUGCUGAAGAGAAAGGAAAAUUUGAAGACAUGGCAAAGGCUGACAAGGCCUGUUAUGAAAGAGAAAUUAAAACUUACAUCCAUUCUAAAAGAAAGAAGUUCAAGUAUCCCAAUGCACUCAAGAGGCUUCUUUGGCCUUUUUCUAAUUUUGUGCUUAAUAUUGCCCCAAAAUCAAAGGUGGACAUCCUAGCCUCUUCACUGGUGAUGUUGCAAAGAAACUGGGAGUGAUGUGGAAUAACACUGCUACAGAUGACAAGCAGCCUUAUGAGAAGAAGGCUACUAAGCUGAAGGAAAAGUACAAAAAGGAUAUUACUGCAUACCAGAUGCAGCAAAAAAAAAAAAAAAGAAAGGAAGUCAUCAAGGCUGAAGAAAGCAAGAAAAAAAGGAAGAGGAGGAAGGUAAGAGGAUGAGGAGGAGGAAGAAGACCAUAAUGAAUAA
This 522-nucleotide long non-coding RNA is filed under the name Bos taurus (domestic cattle). Its description in RNAcentral is "long non-coding RNA NONBTAT024428". The record is from RNAcentral. Lineage: Eukaryota; Metazoa; Chordata; Mammalia; Artiodactyla; Bovidae.